CUACCAUGCAGUCGAGCGGAGUGAUGGUGCUUGCACUAUCACUUAGCGGCGGACGGGUGAGUAAUGCUUAGGAAUCUGCCUAUUAGUGGGGGACAACAUUUCGAAAGGAAUGCUAAUACCGCAUACGUCCUACGGGAGAAAGCAGGGGAUCUUCGGACCUUGCGCUAAUAGAUGAGCCUAAGUCGGAUUAGCUAGUUGGUGGGGUAAAGGCCUACCAAGGCGACGAUCUGUAGCGGGUCUGAGAGGAUGAUCCGCCACACUGGGACUGAGACACGGCCCAGACUCCUACGGGAGGCAGCAGUGGGGAAUAUUGGACAAUGGGCGCAAGCCUGAUCCAGCCAUGCCGCGUGUGUGAAGAAGGCCUUAUGGUUGUAAAGCACUUUAAGCGAGGAGGAGGCUACUGAAGUUAAUACCUUCAGAUAGUGGACGUUACUCGCAGAAUAAGCACCGGCUAACUCUGUGCCAGCAGCCGCGGUAAUACAGAGGGUGCAAGCGUUAAUCGGAUUUACUGGGCGUAAAGCGCGCGUAGGCGGCUAAUUAAGUCAAAUGUGAAAUCCCCGAGCUUAACUUGGGAAUUGCAUUCGAUACUGGUUAGCUAGAGUGUGGGAGAGGAUGGUAGAAUUCCAGGUGUAGCGGUGAAAUGCGUAGAGAUCUGGAGGAAUACCGAUGGCGAAGGCAGCCAUCUGGCCUAACACUGACGCUGAGGUGCGAAAGCAUGGGGAGCAAACAGGAUUAGAUACCCUGGUAGUCCAUGCCGUAAACGAUGUCUACUAGCCGUUGGGGCCUUUGAGGCUUUAGUGGCGCAGCUAACGCGAUAAGUAGACCGCCUGGGGAGUACGGUCGCAAGACUAAAACUCAAAUGAAUUGACGGGGGCCCGCACAAGCGGUGGAGCAUGUGGUUUAAUUCGAUGCAACGCGAAGAACCUUACCUGGCCUUGACAUAGUAAGAACUUUCCAGAGAUGGAUUGGUGCCUUCGGGAACUUACAUACAGGUGCUGCAUGGCUGUCGUCAGCUCGUGUCGUGGAGAUGUUUGGGUUAAGUCCCGCAACGAGCGCAACCCUUUUUCCUUAUUUGCCAGCGAGUAAUGGCGGGGAACUUAAAGGAUACUGCCAUUGACAAACUUGGAGGAAAGGCGGGGACAACUUCAAGUCAUCAUGGGCCCUUACCGGCCAGGGCUACACACGUUGCUACAAU
This 1195-nucleotide ribosomal RNA is filed under the name Acinetobacter calcoaceticus. RNAcentral describes it as "bacterial SSU rRNA". It matches the Rfam family "Bacterial small subunit ribosomal RNA", at positions 49 to 1231 of the family's 1533-position model. The record is from RNAcentral. Lineage: Bacteria; Pseudomonadati; Pseudomonadota; Gammaproteobacteria; Moraxellales; Moraxellaceae.